Molecule: long non-coding RNA, 740 nt
Organism: Cyprinus carpio carpio
Lineage: Eukaryota; Metazoa; Chordata; Actinopteri; Cypriniformes; Cyprinidae
Source: Ensembl
UCUCUUCCCACCUGUUCCCUUUUUCCUCCUCUGAUUACUCCCUUAUUUCUCCCUCUGUUUUUGCUGCCUCCUUUGUCAGAUUCUCGUUUGAGUUUCUCUCGCAAGAAGCAGACAACUAUCCUGUCAGUCUCCGCUCUAGACCCGUCCAGUCUUGUCCUGUUGAGACCUGCCUGAAGAAUCUGACCAGAAAUGGACCCAGCGACACCAAAGCCUAUCCAGUCUGCUGUCGAGUUCCAGGGAGCGAUAUUAGGCAGACAUGAGGAGGAGUUGUCUGCCGCUCGACAUGCCGUGGAGACCCUGGCUGCCCAAGUCUCCGAUCUCUCAAGACCGUUACAACAUCUUCGCCUCGAUCCACCUGUCGCCUCCAGGGCUCCUGAAUCUCCCGAACCCCGUAUAAAUAGCCCACCGUGCUACGCUGGUGAGCCCACCGAAUACUGCUUGUUUCUCACUCAGUGUGAUGUUGUUUUUUCUCUCCAGCCCACCACUUAUUCCGAGAACAGAGCUCGCAUUGCCUACAUUAUAUCACUCCUCACUGGACGGGCCCGGGAGUGGGGAACGGCAGUCUGGGGGGCGGAGGCUGCGUGUACUAACCAGUAUCAGGACUUUAGGGAGGAGAUGAUACAGUUUUGCCUGAGGCCGAGAGAGAACCAUCCAUCCCUGUCUGCCCACUACCCGCGUCCACUUUGAGAGACCUGCGGUCGGUCGCCGCUAUCACUACAGACCCAGACUGCUGCCAAAGG